Molecule: ribosomal RNA, 512 nt
Filed under: uncultured bacterium
Lineage: Bacteria
Description: partial 16S ribosomal RNA
Rfam family: Bacterial small subunit ribosomal RNA
Source: RNAcentral
GAUGAACGCUGGCGGCGUGCCUAAUACAUGCAAGUCGAGCGAAUGAAGAGGAGCUUGCUCCUCUGAUUUAGCGGCGGACGGGUGAGUAACACGUGGGUAAUCUGCCUGUAAGACGGGGAUAACUCCGGGAAACCGGGCCUAAUACCGGAUAAUAAGAAGAAACGCAUGUUUCUUUUUUGAAAGUCGGUUUCGGCUGACACUUACAGAUGAGCCCGCGGCGCAUUAGCUUGUUGGUGAGGUAACGGCUCACAAAGGCGACGAUGCGUAGCCGACCUGAGAGGGUGAUCGGCCACACUGGGACUGAGACACGGCCCAGACUCCUACGGGAGGCAGCAGUAGGGAAUCUUCGGCAAUGGGCGAAAGCCUGACCGAGCAACGCCGCGUGAGCGAUGAAGGCCUUCGGGUCGUAAAGCUCUGUUGUUAGAGAAGAACAAGUACGAGAGUAACUGCUCGUACCUUGACGGUACCUAACCAGAAAGCCACGGCUAACUACGUGCCAGCCGCCGCCGUAA